CGUGGCUGCCCGCACGCCAGUGCCCGGCGUCGGCACCGCGAGGCGUUGUCGUGAUCCCCAGGCUCCCUCCGCCGUGUGCCCGUACCUGCGGCCCGGCCGCAGAGUAAUGCCCUCUGAAUAAAUUGCGAGCGUCCGAUUAAAAAUCAUUCCAGAAGGAAAAAAAAUGUGCUACAGUCUAACCAGCCUAAAGGACAUCACAUAUGUGCCCACUUCAGCCAUUAAAGUCUGCUUUGGGACACCGUGUCAGAUUGGACAAUCUGAAGAAGAAGGAAUUGAAGCACACACUUUUGCCUGUCUGGAAGACAAGUCUCCCAGAAUAUACCUUUUCCUACACUCAUAUGACACAAGUCCAGAAAAGGACCUCAAGAGUGUGAAAAAACAAAGUUAAGCUUGAAUAUGAAUGUAACGAAAGCAGUGACACUGAAGAAAGUUUCUUCCAGGCAUCUGCAAAGACUUAUGGAUCAGACAAUGAUGUUAUCGGAGGUAUGAAGUCAGAAAUACUUUACCAGUUUGAAAUGUGCAUGAAAGAUAAGACAUGGUUAGCACUGCUGAUGAUUUUUAGAUUUUUUUCAU
Molecule: long non-coding RNA, 573 nt
Filed under: Taeniopygia guttata (zebra finch)
Lineage: Eukaryota; Metazoa; Chordata; Aves; Passeriformes; Estrildidae
Description: lncRNA (ENSTGUG00000022573.1)
Source: RNAcentral